RNAcentral lists this ribosomal RNA (253 nucleotides) under uncultured bacterium. Its description in RNAcentral is "partial 16S ribosomal RNA". It matches the Rfam family "Bacterial small subunit ribosomal RNA", at positions 524 to 776 of the family's 1533-position model. The record is from RNAcentral.
UACGGAGGGUGCAAGCGUUAAUCGGAAUUACUGGGCGUAAAGCGCACGCAGGUGGCUGAGUAAGUCGAUUGUGAAAGCCCUGGGCUUAACCUGGGAAUUGCAGUCGAAACUACUCGGCUAGAGUAUGGGAGAGGGCAGUGGAAUUCCCGGUGUAGCGGUGAAAUGCGUAGAUAUUGGGAGGAACACCUGUGGCGAAAGCGGCGCACUGGACCAUAACUGACGCUGAGGCGCGAAAGCUAGGGGAGCAAACAGG